UGUAGUGUCCGAUACAGCGAAACAGUUCAGAUUGCGGAUACUAUGUUUUGAGGUUUAUGAAAGAAAUCAUUCAAACGAAUCAAUUAGAGAUUCCAAUCACGUACUUUGAUGACUUCUAUGCUGCUUCUUACACGAGACUUAAGUUGGAAGAAAUCAAAGAGGAAUUGUGUCAAUUUUAUAUUCAGCAACUAUUCAUAUAGGACCAGGCCGGGAAACGAUCAAACUUUUGAAGUAUAAUAUUAUAGUACUCUAGGGUGGUUACUAACUUUGUUCAUACUGUUGCCAAU
This is a long non-coding RNA of Vicia villosa (hairy vetch), 287 nucleotides long. RefSeq lists it as uncharacterized. The transcript is spliced from 3 exons. The record is from RefSeq and is a predicted model, not a curated record. Lineage: Eukaryota; Viridiplantae; Streptophyta; Magnoliopsida; Fabales; Fabaceae.